ACGGGUGAGUAACACGUGGGCAACCUGCCUGUAAGACUGGGAUAACUUCGGGAAACCGGAGCUAAUACCGGAUAAUGCUUCUCCUCUCAUGAGGAGAAACUGAAAGAUGGUUUACGCUAUCACUUACAGAUGGGCCCGCGGCGCAUUAGCUAGUUGGUGAGGUAACGGCUCACCAAGGCGACGAUGCGUAGCCGACCUGAGAGGGUGAUCGGCCACACUGGGACUGAGACACGGCCCAGACUCCUACGGGAGGCAGCAGUAGGGAAUCUUCCGCAAUGGACGAAAGUCUGACAGAGCAACGCCGCGUGAGUGAUGAAGGUUUUCGGAUCGUAAAACUCUGUUGUUAGGGAAGAACAAGUACCGGAGUAACUGCCGGUACCUUGACGGUACCUAACCAGAAAGCCACGGCUAACUACGUGCCAGCAGCCGCGGUAAUACGUAGGUGGCAAGCGUUGUCCGGAAUUAUUGGGCGUAAAGCGCGCGCAGGCGGUCUCUUAAGUCUGAUGUGAAAGCCCCCGGCUCAACCGGGGAGGGUCAUUGGAAACUGGGAGACUUGAGUGCAGAAGAGAAGAGUGGAAUUCC
Molecule: ribosomal RNA, 582 nt
Filed under: uncultured bacterium
Lineage: Bacteria
Description: bacterial SSU rRNA
Rfam family: Bacterial small subunit ribosomal RNA
Source: RNAcentral